AAACAGGGACAAUACGGAAUUUAAGCAUUCUGACUGAUUCAAAAGAGAGGGCCAAUACGGAGAAGUCACUUUCGUUAGAAUUUUAAAUGACGCCAUUUUGUUUUACAUAAAAAAUAUAUAUUACAAUAGUUUUCACAUUUUUUGGAAAAAAAAUAAUAUCUAACAUGUUCAUGUGAUAACUAAGUAAGACUGAGUGGACGUACGAUGUCGAUACAUACGUUUUCUGUAGAUUAUAACGAUACUUUCGGCUUAUUCGUUAUUGUGUACAAACAAGUUCCUGUCAGAACGAAUCGGAAAUAUACAUUGAGAAAAUAUGCGAAACUCAUAUUACUUGAAAGGAUGAUACUUAUUUAGCUAGUGUGGAUUAUUUGUGCAAUAAUAAUAGCGAUUCACAUGCAGAGAAGUGGAUGAAUAAUAUUCGUUGCGAACUCGAAUGUCAGUUGUAAACUGCAAUCAAUUUCGGUUAAGAAUAAAACGAGGCAUGGGGGUGUAUAAUACGUGAUUGAUUGGUUGUAUUAUCUUGAUCAACACAUAUGUGUACAAUUUUGUGUCUCAUUGACUGCAGUCAACAAAGAAAUAAAGCAGUUCUUAUCAAAGCUCAAAUGGUAAGAUACUCACUAGAGAAAAUAAAUACGAUGUGUGGUUACAGACUUUUUUGUGAGGUUUUGAAAGUCAAGUAGGCGACUGUAGUCCGAGAAACUCUGAACUCCUUAGUGUCUGGUAAUUUGAAUGUCAAAUAGAUUUAACUGUUAACUGCCUUUUUGGCGAUGAGUGGCUCUGGUGUUUGCUGCUCUCUAUGCUUCCAAGAAACCCACCCUUUACUUUCGGUUAAGGAAAGAAAUCACAGAUCACUGGUUUAGCAGUUUUGGUAGUACAGUAAUUGGGAUAAAAAAUAAGAACAAUUUAAAAACUCCAUUUACAAUCAUGAAAUACUUCACCAUGUUGUAGUUUUGUUGUUAUAAGACAAUAUUGAUGAUCCAAAUAAACAUCCUAAUGAGUUUUGAGAUAUUACAAAUUCAAAUGGUUACAAAGAUUAUAAUAUGUAAAAUGUAUGAGUGAUGAAACAAUCAAAGUAUGUUACAUGAAAAGCAAGAACCAGUUUGAUAGUUUUUUGUUGAUAACAUGGAAUCAACCUGUGUCUGAAAACAAACUCGAGUUGUUCAGGAAAAAACAGGGAUUAAAGCCAGUGAAUGAGUUCUUGGAUCAUGUGUUACAGAUUAUCUAACGCAAAAUUGCAUUGAAUGAACCAGAAACAAGUGACAGCCGAUAAAUUCAAUUAAACUCACACAGCAGUAGUGACGACAUUUAUGAUAAUGCCAAAAAUGUUCAACGUUUUAUGUGAGAGUAUAUAGAUACGUGAUCAUCAAAAUCUAUUUUAGAUAUUUGGCUUCCUGUCGUUUAAAAUUGUUGAUACAUUGGCGAAAUGCUAAAGAGCUGUAAAAUGUCGUCAAAUGAGUAUCAUUAAAAGCACUUACA
Long non-coding RNA from Mercenaria mercenaria, 1476 nucleotides. RefSeq lists it as uncharacterized. The transcript has 4 exons. The record is from RefSeq and is a predicted model, not a curated record. NCBI's taxonomy places the organism in Eukaryota, Metazoa, Mollusca, Bivalvia, Venerida, Veneridae.